RNAcentral lists this unclassified non-coding RNA (210 nucleotides) under Hevea brasiliensis (rubber tree). Lineage: Eukaryota; Viridiplantae; Streptophyta; Magnoliopsida; Malpighiales; Euphorbiaceae. The record is from RNAcentral.
AUUUGAUUUGAUUUAAUAUUUGAAUUCGAUUUGAGAUAAACACCGUACACAUGCUAGACUUAUUUGUUUAUGCUUGUGCAGUUGGCAUUAUAAUAGGCGAUUGCAAAAAAUAGCAGACAAACUUACAGCAAAAUGGGUGUGACUUGGGCUUGACUUAUUAAUUGCUUGCUUCAAUCUGCAGCUACGUCCCCGUUCUUUGGAUCUUCUUGC